This 115-nucleotide ribosomal RNA is filed under the name Thalassospira lucentensis. Lineage: Bacteria; Pseudomonadati; Pseudomonadota; Alphaproteobacteria; Rhodospirillales; Thalassospiraceae. The record is from RNAcentral.
UUUUUCAUGAUUGGGGGCCGGGAACCACCUGAUCCCAUCCCGAACUCAGAAGUGAAACCAGCCUGCGCCGAUGGUACUUUGUCUUAAGGCACGGGAGAGUAGGUCACUGCCGGGC